ACGGCUCAGUAACACGUGGCUAAUCUGCCCUUGGGACCGGAACACCCCCGGGAAACUGGGGCUAAUUCUCGAUAGGUGAAGAACUCUGGAAUGAGUCUUUGCCAAAAAGACGUUUACGUUAUGCUCGUAGGCGUCGCCCAAGGAUGAGGCCGCGACCGAUCAGGUUGUUGGUGAGGUAAUGGCUCACCAAGCCUUUUACCGGUGCGGGCCGUGAGAGCGGGAGCCCGGAGAUGGGCACUGAGACAAGGGCCCAGGCCCUACGGGGCGCAGCAGUCGCGAAAACUUUGCAAUACACGAAAGUGUGACAGGGCUAUCCCGAGUGCCAUCCGCUGAGGAAGGCUUUUACCCAGUCUAGAACGCUGGGGGAAUAAGGAGAGGGCAAGUCUGGUGUCAGCCGCCGCGGUAAUACCAGCUCUCCGAGUGGUGUGGAUGUUUAUUGGGCCUAAAGCAUCCGUAGCUGGCUGAGUUAGUCCCUUGUUAAAUCCACCGAAUUAAUCGUUGGAUUGCGGGGGAUACUGCUCGGCUAGGGGACGAGAGAGGCAGACGGUAUUUCCGGGGUAGGGGUGAAAUCCUAUAAUCCCGGGAAGACCACCAGUGGCGAAGGCUGUCUGCUAGAACGCGCCCGACGGUGAGGGAUGAAAGCUGGGGGAGCGAACCGGAUUAGAUACCCGGGUAGUCCCAGCUGUAAACGAUGCUGGCUAGGUGUUUGGACGGCCACGUGCCGUUCUAGUGCCGCAGGGAAGCUGUUAAGCCUGCCGCCUGGGGAGUACGGUCGCAAGAUUGAAACUUAAAGGAAUUGGCGGGGGAGCAC
Molecule: ribosomal RNA, 811 nt
Filed under: uncultured archaeon
Lineage: Archaea
Description: bacterial SSU rRNA
Rfam family: Archaeal small subunit ribosomal RNA
Source: RNAcentral